UAUUCUUCAGUCCCUACCAGAUUUCUUUUCACAGUUCAUAAUAAAUUUUAAUAUGAAUAAGCUUAAGGUGACUCUCCUAAAGCUCCUCAAUAUGUUGAGGGAGGUAGAGAGUACUAUUAAAAAGAAGCUAGUUUUCUACAUUGGUGAAACCAGAAAGAAAAGGAAAUCAGAAAAGUUCCUUAAGCAGGGCAAGGGCAAGAG
This 201-nucleotide long non-coding RNA is filed under the name Musa acuminata (dwarf banana). Its description in RNAcentral is "long non-coding RNA (MACU_LNC001393)". The record is from RNAcentral. Lineage: Eukaryota; Viridiplantae; Streptophyta; Magnoliopsida; Zingiberales; Musaceae.